CCUUAUAGAGGGGGGAUAAUAUCCUUGUCAAGCCUUGGCCAAGCUCCAAGACAAAGCACAGUUGGAGAUCCUUUUCCAGCACAAAAGAAUUAAAGAGCCACAGGCCAUUGACAGGGUUGAAGACAAGCAGAGGAUCAGAUGCCAGAUCAAAGCAGAGGGCAAGAAAGUCUGUGGGGCUAUUCAGGGACAGACAAGCUGCUUAGUGUGAGAAGCUCCCUUGAAUCAUCUUUGAAGACUAAAACAUUGAUAAUUUUUGGGCUCUCGUGUUUCUUCAAGCAGCUCAAGUUCUGUAAUGCCCAGCCUGAUGAAAACUUCCGGAAAAUUCAAAAGCACCCAGAACUUGAAUAGAAAAGCACCUUACCUCAAGAAUUUGUCAGUUUGCGGGAC
Pogona vitticeps (central bearded dragon) is the source of this 387-nucleotide non-coding RNA. NCBI's taxonomy places the organism in Eukaryota, Metazoa, Chordata, Lepidosauria, Squamata, Agamidae. The record is from RefSeq and is a predicted model, not a curated record.